AUGGGGUUUGAGCAGGUGCUCCCUCCCCUGGCCGCUGCCCCUCCUAACUUCCUGUUUACAGCAGCUGCGGACUCUCUUCUCUUCACCCCAAGCCAUUAUGGUCACCAUGGCAACCAGGCUGUGUUCCAACAGACAGGAAUUGGCAGCGUGGCUGUGAGUCUGGAUCUGGAAGCUGAGACAGGUGCUCGCCCCAUCAGAGCAGUGUCCACCCCCACCUGUGGCUGGAGGGGGGCACCGGGUCCUCUCUGGGCUGGGGAUGAAGAAGGUACAGCCACAGUUAUUCACAGUGGGCUGCCCCCUGCAUGCAGCUGGAACCCUGUCCCCUCCUCAGCCCAGCUGACGGAAGACCCCUGGCCAACCCAGAGCCAGCUGUCCUUGCCUCUGGAACUGAGCUGAAGUUGCUUCCAGGUUUGCCUGUUCCCCACCCGGCCAGGAGUCCUGCCAUUAGAGAUGAGAUCCUUUGGGGUGAAAACUUCUCCAAACCAGUCUGACCCUCCGAGUACGAGUUUCUCAGAGGGUCCAGCAGGGCUGGGAUCCAGGGGCCCUGUGCACCUCAGCCAAGUUCAGAACCUCUAAGCGGCCCCAGGGCUGGCCAAGUGCAGUGGGGCGGCGGGGGGGGGGGGGGGGNGGGGGGGGGGGGGGAGCGUCCCAUAGCAGGGCCUCCACCCGGCAGAUCUGGGGCAGGCCCAGCAAGCUGUAUUUACAGGCUCUCCAGGUGCCCACGGUGCAUGGGAGGGGCGCCGAGGGUGGGGCGGGUUUCCGACCGGCUGGGUGACCCAGCGUGUGGCCCCACCUCGGCUGAUCACCAACAGGUGAUGCGAAUUGCUGUGGGUGUCCGGGGAUGAUGCCUGCACGACCCCCUCGCUCGAGGGGCAGAGUCCCCCCUGAGAAAAGGAGCCGUUAAGCCCGCGGUGGCGGAGUCCCCAGACCCAGCCCCGCUCCCGAUUGGUACUGGGGACAGCGCUGGGCUAGGAGGGCGACUUCAGAGAUGACUGCGCAGCUCUUCUAGAAAAGUCUGCGCUGCGGACCCAAGCAUGCCGUGCCGGUUUUCCGCGACUCUGGCUUCCCUGGGGCCCUCGGGAGGGGGUCCUGCCGCAGAGCCGGGCCAGCUCCUCGGCCGCACCCACCUGUGGGUUGACGGACAGCCCGAGGCCACGCCCCCUGGGGAGGGGGCUGCCCGGCGCGCCCCUGGGCCGUCUGCGUCCAGCUGCGGGCCCUUG
This 1220-nucleotide long non-coding RNA is filed under the name Sus scrofa (pig). RNAcentral describes it as "lncRNA (ENSSSCG00015022484.1)". The record is from RNAcentral. Lineage: Eukaryota; Metazoa; Chordata; Mammalia; Artiodactyla; Suidae.